GCGUAGGUGCGCGGGGCGA
This 19-nucleotide microRNA is filed under the name Echinococcus granulosus. RNAcentral describes it as "egr-miR-10289-5p". The record is from miRBase by way of RNAcentral. Lineage: Eukaryota; Metazoa; Platyhelminthes; Cestoda; Cyclophyllidea; Taeniidae.